This 460-nucleotide ribosomal RNA is filed under the name uncultured bacterium. RNAcentral's name for it is "partial 16S ribosomal RNA". It matches the Rfam family "Bacterial small subunit ribosomal RNA", at positions 338 to 795 of the family's 1533-position model. The record is from RNAcentral.
CCUACGGGGGGCAGCAGUGAGGAAUAUUGGUCAAUGGACGAGAGUCUGAACCAGCCAAGUAGCGUGAAGGAUGACUGCCCUAUGGGUUGUAAACUUCUUUUAUAAAGGAAUAAAACGAGGCACGUGUGCCUUUUUGCAUGUACUUUAUGAAUAAGGAUCGGCUAACUCCGUGCCAGCAGCCGCGGUAAUACGGAGGAUCCGAGCGUUAUCCGGAUUUAUUGGGUUUAAAGGGGGCGGAGAUGGGUUGUUAAGUCAGUUGUGAAAGUUUGCGGCUCAACCGUAAAAUUGCAAUUGAUACUGGCAGUCUAGAGAACAGAUGAGGUAGGCGGAAUACGUGGAGUAGCGGUGAAAUGCUUAGAUAUCACGAAGAACCCCGAUUGCGAAGGCAGCUUACUAGACUGUGACUGACAUUGAUGCUCGAAAGUGUGGGUAUCAAACAGGAUUAGAUACCCUAGUAGUC